This 806-nucleotide ribosomal RNA is filed under the name Marinobacter salsuginis. RNAcentral's name for it is "bacterial SSU rRNA". It matches the Rfam family "Bacterial small subunit ribosomal RNA", at positions 635 to 1441 of the family's 1533-position model. Lineage: Bacteria; Pseudomonadati; Pseudomonadota; Gammaproteobacteria; Pseudomonadales; Marinobacteraceae. The record is from RNAcentral.
GUCAGGCUAGAGUAUGGUAGAGGAGUGUGGAAUUUCCUGUGUAGCGGUGAAAUGCGUAGAUAUAGGAAGGAACACCAGUGGCGAAGGCGGCACUCUGGACCAAUACUGACACUGAGGUGCGAAAGCGUGGGGAGCAAACAGGAUUAGAUACCUUGGUAGUCCACGCCGUAAACGAUGUCUACUAGCCGUUGGGACUCUUGAAGUCUUAGUGGCGCAGCUAACGCACUAAGUAGACCGCCUGGGGAGUACGGCCGCAAGGUUAAAACUCAAAUGAAUUGACGGGGGCCCGCACAAGCGGUGGAGCAUGUGGUUUAAUUCGACGCAACGCGAAGAACCUUACCUGGCCUUGACAUGCAGAGAACUUUCCAGAGAUGGAUUGGUGCCUUCGGGAACUCUGACACAGGUGCUGCAUGGCCGUCGUCAGCUCGUGUCGUGAGAUGUUGGGUUAAGUCCCGUAACGAGCGCAACCCCUAUCCCUAGUUGCUAGCAGUUCGGCUGAGAACUCUAGGGAGACUGCCGGUGACAAACCGGAGGAAGGUGGGGAUGACGUCAGGUCAUCAUGGCCCUUACGGCCAGGGCUACACACGUGCUACAAUGGCGCGCACAGAGGGCUGCAAACCCGCGAGGGGGAGCCAAUCUCACAAAACGCGUCGUAGUCCGGAUCGCAGUCUGCAACUCGACUGCGUGAAGUCGGAAUCGCUAGUAAUCGUGAAUCAGAAUGUCACGGUGAAUACGUUCCCGGGCCUUGUACACACCGCCCGUCACACCAUGGGAGUGGAUUGCACCAGAAGUGGUUAGUCUAACCU